GGGGGACAAAGUGACAGGUGGUGCAUGGUUGUCGUCAGCUCGUGUCGUGAGAUGUUGGGUUAAGUCCCGCAACGAGCGCAACCCUUAAGCUUAGUUGCCAUCAUUAAGUUGGGCACUCUAGGUUGACUGCCGGUGACAAACCGGAGGAAGGUGGGGAUGACGUCAAAUCAUCAUGCCCCUUAUGAUUUGGGCUACACACGUGCUACAAUGGACAAUACAAAGGGCAGCUAAACCGCGAGGUCAUGCAAAUCCCAUAAAGUUGUUCUCAGUUCGGAUUGUAGUCUGCAACUCGACUACAUGAAGCUGGAAUCGCUAGUAAUCGUAGAUCAGCAUGCUACGGUGAAUACGUUCCCGGGUCUUGUACACACCGCCCGUCACACCACGAGAGUUUGUAACACCCGAAGCCGGUGGAGUAACCAUUUAUGGAGCUAGCCGUCGAAGGU
This 443-nucleotide ribosomal RNA is filed under the name Staphylococcus gallinarum. Its description in RNAcentral is "bacterial SSU rRNA". It matches the Rfam family "Bacterial small subunit ribosomal RNA", at positions 1021 to 1463 of the family's 1533-position model. Lineage: Bacteria; Bacillati; Bacillota; Bacilli; Caryophanales; Staphylococcaceae. The record is from RNAcentral.